AAAAGAAGUCGUUUAUUAUUGUUUAUUGUUUGUUUGUUUGUUUUUUUUUUUUUUUUUUUUUUUGUUUGUU
RNAcentral lists this non-coding RNA (70 nucleotides) under uncultured Mamiellales. The record is from RNAcentral. Lineage: Eukaryota; Viridiplantae; Chlorophyta; Mamiellophyceae; Mamiellales.